AAAAGAGGGAGUGUCCCUCCUCCAGGAAGCUCCCAGCCUAGCUGGCGAGCAUGGCCUCCCUUCUCCUCCUGGCCUCCCUUCUCCUCCUGGCCUCCCUUCUCCUCCUGGCUCCACGCCUUCUCUUUGCUUCCUCCCAUUGCCGUUUCUCCUGACGAUCUAAGAAAGAGCAGAAGCCUGAAAUUGGGACCUGGAGGGGACGUCUCUAAUCAAUCUUUGUCCUGGACGUGGGGACGCCGGCGCUGUGGUGCCUGCCCAGCACAUCCUGAGAUGACGCCACUGCUCCUCUUUGGCCCUGCUGAACUGUAUUCCAUGCUGGCUGUCUUUUUCCUGCAUCAGGGGAAUCCACUGGUGGAUGUGAUGGGAGAACUUCUUGGCCAGGCCGGCUGUUCCGGUCAACACUGCAAAUCCAGGACUCACACAAUGCACUGAGGAGCUUCUGCUGCGGCAGGAAGGACACUGGCCGUGGAGCCCAGAGCCGUGGGCUUGGGUGUGAUGUCCCGAGCUCAUGCUGCCAUGGUGUGGCCUCUGAGCCUGGCUCAUCUCCAGAGAACCACAUAAAGAUGAGUUGAUGGCAGAUGGUCCUAGAGGUCCCUUCAGGGUCUCACAUUCCUCAUCUACCAACUCUUCUCUGCAUCUGUGAAAGCCAUGAUCCCCACUGACCUGUGGCAGGUACAGUGAAUACUCCACAUCACAGAUGGCGGAAGCACAAAUGGUCCCUCCCACCCAAAUGCCCAUAGGCACUUGGUAACGACUCCUCUCGUCCCGAAAGCUGCUGAUCUGCUUCUCGCCAGUGCUGCGUGUCUUGCUUCUGC
Molecule: long non-coding RNA, 812 nt
Filed under: Homo sapiens (human)
Lineage: Eukaryota; Metazoa; Chordata; Mammalia; Primates; Hominidae
Description: HSALNT0406522
Source: RNAcentral